This 273-nucleotide ribosomal RNA is filed under the name uncultured bacterium. Its description in RNAcentral is "partial 16S ribosomal RNA". It matches the Rfam family "Bacterial small subunit ribosomal RNA", at positions 524 to 796 of the family's 1533-position model. The record is from RNAcentral.
UACGAAGGGUGCAAGCGUGAAUCGGAAUUACUGGGCGUAAAGCGCGCGUAGGUGGUUCAGCAAGUUGGAUGUGAAAUCCCCGGGCUCAACCUGGGAACUGCAUCCAAAACUACUGAGCUAGAGUACGGUAGAGGGUGGUGGAAUUUCCUGUGUAGCGGUGAAAUGCGUAGAUAUAGGAAGGAACACCAGUGGCGAAGGCGACCACCUGGACUGAUACUGACACUGAGGUGCGCAAGCGGGGGGCGCACACAGGCGGCGAUCACCCCGUAGUCC